CACGUAGUUAGCCGGUGCUUAUUCUUCAGGUACCGUCAUUACUUCGGGGUAUUAGCCCAAAGCGUUUCUUCCCUGACAAAAGCGGUUUACAACCCGAAGGCCUUCUUCCCGCACGCGGCAUGGCUGGAUCAGGCUUGCGCCCAUUGUCCAAAAUUCCCCACUGCUGCCUCCCGUAGGAGUCUGGGCCGUGUCUCAGUCCCAGUGUGGCUGGUCGUCCUCUCAGACCAGCUACAGAUCGUAGGCUUGGUAGGCCUUUACCCCACCAACUACCUAAUCUGACAUCGGCCGCUCCAAUAGCGCGAGGUCUUGCGAUCCCCCGCUUUCACCCUUAGGUCGUAUGCGGCAUUAAUCCGGCUUUCGCCGGGCUAUCCCCCACUACUGGGCACGUUCCGAUGUAUUACUCACCCGUUCGCCACUCGUCAGCUUAACCUGUUACCGUUCGACUUGCAUGUGUAAGGCAUGCCGCCAGCGUUCAAUCUGAGCCAGGAUCAAACUC
This 496-nucleotide ribosomal RNA is filed under the name uncultured Burkholderiales Genera incertae sedis bacterium. RNAcentral's name for it is "partial 16S ribosomal RNA". The record is from RNAcentral. Lineage: Bacteria; Pseudomonadati; Pseudomonadota; Betaproteobacteria; Burkholderiales.